Hemiscyllium ocellatum (epaulette shark) is the source of this 468-nucleotide long non-coding RNA. RefSeq lists it as uncharacterized. Lineage: Eukaryota; Metazoa; Chordata; Chondrichthyes; Orectolobiformes; Hemiscylliidae. The record is from RefSeq and is a predicted model, not a curated record. The transcript is spliced from 4 exons.
GGAGCAACAUGAGUUUCCUGAAACUUGGGAAACUGACCGGGAAAUGGAGGUGACUUUGAGCAGCAGAUCAGGAAACAGGGUUUAUUAGCACAGACUCCACCUCUUGAAUUUGCUGUUCAUCCGAUUCGACUGGGAGAUUGGGUCUUAGUAAAAUCAUGGACAGAGACUAAAGUACAACCGGACUGGGAAGGGCUGUACCAGGCUCUUUUGACCACCGAAACAGCGAUAAGAAUGGCGGGGAAAGGCUGGACUCACUACACUCAGUGGAAUCUCCAGUUGAGGAAGAGGUCUGGACAGCCGAAUCAACACAAGACCCACUGAAACUCAGGAGUCCCUAACGGGGUACCUGAUGAGUUCAAGGCUCGCAACCAGAUUGUGGCAGGCUUUGAGUCAGCUCUCUUCUGACAAGUUUGUGUGCCAGUGAAUUUGUGAUGUGAUCCAUACAGCCUCACCCAUAAUGGCUUUUUG